RNAcentral lists this ribosomal RNA (344 nucleotides) under uncultured Entrophospora. RNAcentral's name for it is "SSU rRNA". It matches the Rfam family "Eukaryotic small subunit ribosomal RNA", at positions 569 to 912 of the family's 1831-position model. The record is from RNAcentral. Lineage: Eukaryota; Fungi; Glomeromycota; Glomeromycetes; Entrophosporales; Entrophosporaceae.
AGCAGCCGCGGUAAUUCCAGCUCCAAUAGCGUAUAUUAAAGUUGUUGCAGUUAAAAAGCUCGUAGUUGAAUUUCGGGAUUGACACAUCGGUCGUGCCUUAAGGGGUGUGAACUGGUGUAGUCAAUUUCUCACCUUCUGGAGAACCGCGAUGUCCUUAAUUGGGUGCCGCGAGGAACCAGGACCUUUACUUUGAAAAAUUAGAGUGUUUAAAGCAGGCAUUUUUGCUUGAAUACAUUAGCAAUGGAAUAAUAAAAUAGGACGGCAUGAUUCUAUUUUGUUGGUUCUAGGAUCACCGUAAUGAUUAAUAGGGAUAGUUGGGGCAUUAGUAUUCAAUUGUCAGAGGU